Molecule: long non-coding RNA, 2315 nt
Organism: Onychostoma macrolepis
Lineage: Eukaryota; Metazoa; Chordata; Actinopteri; Cypriniformes; Cyprinidae
Exons: 3
Source: RefSeq, a predicted model, not a curated record
CAACCGUUGGAUUUGUCCAUAUUUUACCCAGUGCUUGGUUGUAUUUAACACAGCAUUUUUUAGAGUGUAUAAAGAAACAAACUCAUCUACAUCUUGGAUGGGCUGAGGAAUGACGGCCAGGAGGAGGAGCAGAACCAGAACCACCACAGCAAUGACAACUAGAACACACAGAGAAAGAGAGGUUAUAUUAGAGGAUAACCUGUGGGAUGCAGCUGUAAGCCUGCCAUGAAAGCCGACGGGUUGGACCUGAAAGAUGAUGAGGGCCAAAGGCAUUCCACCCUCUCUCUCACUUCUGCCACACAGACCCAGGGCAGAGCAAACCCAGCAGCAAGACAUUUGCUUUCAUCACCUUCCCAGAAGUGGAGCUAAUCUUGCCCAAAGCCGGCUUUUGAAGCGCACUGGUAAUUGUCUCCCGAUAGGAUGGGCAGCAAAACCAGGAGCCAGAAUGAAUUCCAGUCCCUUCAGUUCUUGGGUGGGAAACGCAUUAAGCUGAUAAUUUUCCAGCUUGAAUUAAUGCAAAUUUCUCAUUGUUGCUCUGCCCAGUGCCCAAACUGUAAAUCUGUCCAAAUUUCAGCAAAUUGGAGAACUACCAAAGCAAUGGCAUUUAGCUCUGAUCUUAACAUUUUAUUCAUGGUGACAACCAAUGAUCUGGCUCUCACCGUUAGCCUCACACACACUGGAUAACUAGGUUAAAAGUAGUCCUAAAUAGCCUACUUUUAGACAUGUAAUGUAGCUGAAAUUGAUUUAUUCCCAAAGAACUUUAUCAGUUCUUGAAGAAGACACCAAAAAUACCGCUUCCUCUUGUAGUCUAGAAUCUAUAAUUUUUCAUGCUGAUUCUGCCGCUCUCUUUGAUUUCAAUAAAUGUACCACAAAAGGCCCAUAAUCUCCCUAGGCAGGCUCUAUAGUCCAUUGUCAAAACCGCAGGAAUAGAGGUCCUUGUCUCAUCUCUAAGGUGAUGAAGUGUCAGGGCAGGCCUUCAUGUUUCAUGUAGAGAAUUAACAGCUCCGAUGUCUGUCAGGAAAGCACUCGACUGUGGCCAACUGCCUGUGCCAAACUAAGAGUGAAAACAGCCUCUAAACGCCUCGCUAAACUCGCUCUUAGACACUCCUUUCCUCUCACUCUCUUUCUCUCUCACUCACUUCUCAGAUGAUUGGCUGUUGUUUAUUAUUCAUCAUCCUUUUAAAAGAGCAGCUUAAAAAUGGACAGACACAGGUGCACUUAAACUGAAAGUCUCACUUAGGCAAUCUCUGACACACACACACACAUACGCACACACACAUAUAUAUAUUAGGUAGAGAUAUCAAAAGAUAUCACAGAGAUGUUUAUUUUCAGUGAAAAUCAACCCAGUUGCUUUCUUAUAAUCGCCACUGAAUAUUAUAGUAAAAUAUAUUUAAGAAUUGAACAAAUUACACACUUCAGCUUUAAACCAACUGGUUGUAAAAUGUAAGCCCAAAUCCAACUAUGUGAAGAAGCAUUAAAAGCUAAGCAGCUUCCCCUUAAAUAGCCCAUUGCCAGUAAGGACAUUGACAAUAGAUGAUAACCUGAGGGAGCGGCAGAGAAGCCUCAGCUUAUAAUGAACCUCUAACAAACCAUACAAAUGCUCAGUCCUAGUUAAUCAACAUAUUUUAAUUAGAUACAUUUUUCUGUGGUGCAGCAGUCGCAGUGAGGAAGAAUAAGGCCACCACAUAGUCGAAAGUCUAUGUCGAAUCCUACAAAAAUUCCUAAUGGAUUUCACACUGUUUUACAUAUUUUCUGCUCUUCAGAGGAGGUAAGAAUGAGAAUUCAUUCCCACGGUCCUUUAGUGCAAGGUUGUUCAAGAGAGUCCAGUGAAUGUUGGGGAGUCCUUGUAAAAGUUUAGCCAAAAGUUAAAAAAUAAAAAUUAUAUUUCUUAUUUUUAAAGAACCGGUAGGAUGAAAGCAUGGCAAUUGUGAUACAGUGAUACAGUAUAUUGGAAUUAUCUUUACAAUCAUAAAUCUGAAUACACGAUAAAUAAGAAAUAUAAUUGUCUUUACAUUUUGGCAAAAAUCAUAUUUUGGUCCCAUGAUCUCCUCAUUCCUGUCAUCUCAUAACACUAUGGAAUUAAAAAGUUUGAAGGUUUAAAGUACAACUGACCUGCUGUCUUCACAGUAAUAUGUUUUAUGUAUUAAGCUCAGAAUGACUUGUAACCCCUUAUCAGACUUGAGAUUGUAAAAAGGAAAUAUUGAUUAUCAUGUUAUUUACUAUGUCUGCAAUGCACAGAUCCACAUCAAGAAAGGCCUCAAAACAGCCUUGAGUGAAAGCAUGUAAGCCCAUCAAUAAAUCUCUCAUUUACUGGU